This 274-nucleotide ribosomal RNA is filed under the name uncultured bacterium. RNAcentral's name for it is "partial 16S ribosomal RNA". It matches the Rfam family "Bacterial small subunit ribosomal RNA", at positions 523 to 796 of the family's 1533-position model. The record is from RNAcentral.
AUACGGAGGGUGCAAGCGUUGUCCGGAUUUAUUGGGUUUAAAGGGUGUGUAGGCGGUGUAUUAAGUCAGUGGUGAAAGCCUGCGGCUCAACCGUAGAACUGCCAUUGAUACUGACACACUUGAGUAUGGACGAGGUAGGCGGAAUUUAUGGUGUAGCGGUGAAAUGCAUAGAUACCAUAAAGAACACCGAUAGCGAAGGCAGCUUACUAGGUCAUAACUGACGCUGAGGCACGAAAGCGUGGGGAGCGAACAGGAUUAGAAACCCCUGUAGUCC